Parus major (Great Tit) is the source of this 5110-nucleotide RNA transcript. It is a transcript of the gene named LUC7 like 3 pre-mRNA splicing factor, with no coding region annotated. The transcript is spliced from 11 exons. The record is from RefSeq and is a predicted model, not a curated record. Lineage: Eukaryota; Metazoa; Chordata; Aves; Passeriformes; Paridae.
GGGAAGGCAGAUGUUGCACUCAGUGAAGCUGAGCUGGAAUGAUACUUGCAAGAUUCUGCAGGAUUCCAGCAAAGCAGUGUUUUCCUGUUGAAGCAAACUUAGUUGAAGAGCAUAAAGAAAUAGGUAUGAGAGGGGAAGAAAAUCACUUCUGCCACAGUGGUCUGAACUACUCUGAAGCAUUUCUCUGCAGGCUGCUUCCUAGGAGAGAAUGUCAGGUUUGCAAAUACUACCUUUGUGGCUUUUGCCCAGCUGAAUUAUUUACAAAUACCCGUUCUGAUUUAGGUCCUUGUGAAAAAAUACAUGAUGAAAACCUACGCAAACAGUAUGAGAAGAGCUCUCGGUUUAUGAAGGUGGGCUAUGAGAGAGACUUCCUGCGCUAUUUGCAGAGCUUGCUUGCAGAGGUGGAGCGCAGGAUCCGGAGGGGCCAUGCUCGUUUGGCACUGUCACAGAACCAACAGUCUUCUGGGGGAGCGGGACCUACUGGUAAAAACGAAGAGAAGAUUCAGGUGUUAACUGACAAAAUUGAUGUACUGCUUCAACAGAUUGAAGAACUAGGUUCAGAAGGGAAGGUGGAAGAAGCACAAGGAAUGAUGAAACUCGUUGAACAGUUAAAGGAAGAGAGAGAACUGCUGAGGUCUACGACUUCAACAAUUGAGAGCUUUGCAGCCCAGGAAAAACAAAUGGAAGUUUGUGAAGUUUGUGGAGCCUUUUUAAUUGUAGGAGAUGCACAGUCCAGGGUAGAUGACCACUUGAUGGGAAAGCAGCACAUGGGUUAUGCCAAAAUAAAAGCUACUGUAGAAGAUUUAAAAGAAAAGUUACGAAAAAGAACAGAAGAGCCUGACCGUGAUGAAAGGUUGAAAAAAGAGAAGCUAGAACGGGAGGAGAGAGAGAAGGAGAGGGAGCGGGAGAGAGAAGAGCGGGAAAGGAAGAGACGACGUGAAGAGGAAGAAAAGGAAAAAGAGAGGGCUCGUGACAGAGAGAGACGUAAAAGGAGCCGAUCACGUAGCAGGCAUUCAAGCAGGACAUCUGACAGGAGGUGCAGCCGCUCACGAGACCACAAAAGGUCAAGAAGCAGAGAAAGAAGGCGGAGCAGGAGUCGUGACCGGAGGAGAAGCAGAAGCCAUGAUAGAUCAGAAAGGAAACACAGAUCUCGUAGUAGGGACAGGAGACGGUCAAAAAGCCGGGAUCGGAAGUCCUACAAGCACAGAAGCAAAAGCAGAGAGAGAGAACAAGACAGGAAGUCAAAAGAAAAAGUCUUUUGGAACUUCUGAAGGAACGUAAUACUUCUGGCUCUGGUGGGGAGCUGACUAAUGGCCAGUCCGAAACAGCCACCCCACUUCAUGGGCUGAUCAUCAGUAAUGGAUGAAACAAUUGUGUUUCUAAGGACAGAAGAUAAGAUUAUUGGACUGACUACUAGUCCUCUGCGGGGAAACAAGACUACUAUUCCUCAGUGGAUCCACGUGUGCACCGGAGAUACCUUUAAGACACAAAAAGAAGACUUUUUAACAAGGUUAGUUAGAGUGCAAUCUACCUGCGGAGUUGCCAAAUCAAGGGCAGACAGACCCAAACUGACUUAGUCUUUCAGUGAGCUGGGUGACAUUGCCGUGUGCUUUCUCCAAGCACCCUGCACUGGAUGUGCUUCUGCAGGUGAAUCCUCACUACUGGUGGUCAUUAGGCAGUUGCCUUCAUUUCUCUGUGAGGGCUUUACCCUGUCCUUUGGUGUAGUGUGUUAUAAAGCAAAGAAGUCGGGAUGUCGCUGUUCUUUUAAAACUUAAUUUCUUGCUUUUUGUCUCCUGGAAUAUUAAAGUCUGUUAUACCAGUCUAGGUGAUAAUGUUAUUUAAAAUAGCUUUUUCAGAGUGUUCGAUCUGUGCGCUCCUGUGUUGGAGAUAUAUCUGUCUAUUUAUAUUAUUUACUUUGCCCGGAUAGCAGGGAGUAAUCAGAAAAAAGAGCAUGAAUGUUGUUCUGUAUGAUGACAUCUGAGAGGUUGGUUUUCUGGAUUUUUUUUUUUUUUUUUUCUCUCCAGAGUGUCUUUACUGAUCAAGAGGUGAAUAUUAUGGUGUGAAAUAAUACAGCAGGAAUUGGUAUUUUUAGUAAAUUUGAAAAUACUGAAUUUACAGAUGAGGCACGCAGCUCUAAUACUGAAUGUCUUUCUUCCCAUGGAAAUAUUUUUACUUCUGGCUUCCUUCCUUCUUUGAAGAUUGAGUUUUUAGUGUAGCAAAUGCUUCAGUGAGCUUCCCAAUUCAUGAUGAAAUUGUGGGCUCAUUCCCCCACAUCUUGCUGUUUCUUUGCCUUUGAAAAAAAGUUGCUUUUUAUAUGUCUUCCAAGCUGUCUCCCCAAGUCCUUUUAAUGAGUUGUCUAUAAGUGAUGGCUGUUUUUAUAAAAUUGAGAAUUAACAACGCUGACAAAUGUGCAGCUUCAAAUUUAAUUUUGAUUGUCACUGAUCUCCACCUGCAGAGCUGUCAGUGCUUAAUAUUGUUUCCCAAAGUGUUUGAUAGUUUGAGAUUGCUAGUUUUCAAUUGGCAAGUAUCAAUUUCUUUGAUUAUGCAGUGAAGCACUGUCCCAUCACUCUUUCCUGAUUCUCUUUCAAGACCCAUAAUUAACAAGAAUUGUAAACCAAAGCAAACCAUACACAAUCAGAAAUCAAAACUUGCGGACCAAAAGAGUCCCGUAACAAGUAAGGAAGCCAUGCACCAUAAUUACACAUGUGCCUAACCUCUUUCCCCCAAAUUUGUUCAUUUUGACAGAGAGCUGAGUAGCUGCCUCUGUUUCUCCUCUUCCCCCACCCUGUACUGUCCCCUUCUACCUUUAUUUUGUCCCCUCUCCAUUCCAGCAUGGUAGUCUGAAGCCUAUUUCUGUAACUUCUUGAGUAUUACUGUUACUGCUAUACAAAGUAAUUGUCUCAUGUUGUAUGCAAUAUAUAUCUCACAUGUGCAAUGUUUGUUUUUACUUUGAAAUCCAUGGUCAAUGUCUUCUUUCAUGGCAGAAAAGAGGGGAUCUGAUGAUAAAAAAAGUAGUAUGAAGUCCAGUAGUCGAGAAAAACAGAGUGAAGACACAAAUACAGACUCGAAGGAGAGUGAGACUAAGAAUGAGGUCAAUGGGACCAAUGAAGACAUAAAAUCUGAAGGUGACACUCAGUCCAAUUAAAACUGAUCUGAUAUGACCUCAGAUCAGACAGAGGUAAGUGCAUUAUUUCAAACUUUGAUUAGGGCUUUUUGUUACUGUUUAACAGUGCAGCGUAAGUAUGCACAGAUGAAGAUGGAACUAAGUCAAGUAAGAAGACAAACUAAAGCACCUUCUGAAGGAAAUGACAGUGUAGUCCUGCAAAACAUUUUGAGGUACAUUGUUUUGUCUCAGCUAUUUUGUAGCAGACUCGUGCCCCCAUUAGUGUGCCUCUUUGGGACAUAUUUGUAAUAUAGUCACCAUAGAAAAAUUAAUGAUUUUUUUUUUAUUUUUAGGGAUUUUGUUUCGUUUUUUUUAAAAAAAAAGUUGAACUGGUUUUGUAUUUAAGUCCAUAUUGUGUUGGUACAUCAGCAGAAACUUUUGCUUAAAUACUUAAUAUCUGAGGCACAUGUUGGACUACUUUGUUUUCAUAUAAACUGCUAGUAUUUCUUUGUCAAGGAUGUUUCUAGUUUUUUUGCUUUAUUGCCUUGCAUUCUAAUGCAGUUUGUUCUGUAACUCGAGAGCCAGUAGCAUUGGAUUGAUGGAAGUGUAGGGUUUAUGAAUUAUUGCAGCUGACUACCAUACCUCACACAGCGUUGGUGUUGUGAGCGGCCCAUGAAAAGCCAAAUUAAAAAUCAAGGAUUCAGUCAAACUAAGCAGGUACUCAUGCCAGGUACUCCUUUCUCUACCCACAUCCAUGUUUGAAUGCUGUUGCCUGUAAUCUUUAAGCUUACUGUUGUGUUUUUGAUUUUGAAGCUAGUGAAAAGGACUUUUUGUGUAUUGUGUGAAUACUGUAAAUCUGAUGUUAACAGAAUGGAAUUUUCUUUCAACUGUGUGUAGGGAUGCAGUGCUGCCCAGAAUUAGAUAUCUUUAAAGAGUUUAAAAUGCAAUAAACACUACAUAAUAUUCGCCUUGUUACUUUCAAUGCAAUUCAAGUCUUUAAGAGGUAUGUGUUUAAUAUUUCCUACUGUGUAGGAGACUUUGCAGUCAGCCGUAGCACAGAACAGUGGAAUGGCUGAUGACAGGCUUGUAAGGCAAAUGUAAAUGCAGAGACAGAUGCCACCAAAUGAUGACAGUGUUGAUGGCAGGAAUGUAUGCUGGAAACUGUUUGUGGGAUAUGAAGCAGCUAAGCAAUAGGCAAUUCCAAUACUGUAUUGAAAGGACAACUUGAAGUUUUUUCCCCGCUCUUUCUUACAGAAGGUCUUUAGUUGUAUUCCUGAAAUAAGGAACUAAAAGUGGAGAUACCAACUGAUAAAUGAGCUUCUUGUAACAUAAUUUGUUACUGUAGUUGCAUUAUGUAUGCUAGGAGCUCUUAAACAUUUAAUGUUGAUAUUAAACCAUUAAUGCUAUGUCAUUGCUUCUGAAGUUAGUCAUGUUCAUUGAUGUUUUUGUAGAGUUAAGAUGACAGCUAACAACUGGGCGAGUGUAUAGGAAUGGUAACCAAAAAGCUCUUAAUGCUGUCUAAUCGUCUGUUCUCCCAAAAUUUUGCAUUAUAGGACUACUACAUGAAGAGUCUGUGAAGACAGCGGAAGACAGCUUAAACUGAAGAUCUGCUUUAAAAUGAGGUGAAAGAAAGCUGUAGUGACGUAGAAAAAUAUAAAGUUGAGUUAGAAUUUUUUUAAAAAAAAAUUUAAUUCAGGACUGGUGUUUCCUCCCAGAGUUCAGAAAGAUGUGUUGAUAAUAGCACAUAUGCUACUGAGAAUAUAAGUCCUGUAUCCUUUUUUUUUUUUCUUUAAGACUUUUUAAGAUAAGAAACCAACAUAACCUGAACACAUGGCUUGCUCAGUGUUUAAUUGCAAGUUUUCAUUCUUGGACUUUAAAAUACAAGAAUAAAUGUUUAGUAUUUGUGUGAAUCAAACUAAAAUGAAUCCCAUUUUUACAACUAAGCAAUUCCUAGCUUCUUGAUAUAUGAGAAAUGGAAAUAAAGUAUCUUUGAAUUUCUGUUACAAA